CCUCCCCCACCCACCUCUAUGUAAAGUUCUCAAUUCUCAGUAUCUCACAUCAGCAAUUACCAUCUGCUAGCCCAAAGAGGAGAUAAUUUUCUUCUAAGACUUUCUGGAUAUUCACUAAAGACAACAGAAGAUUCUCAGCAUGGGAAUGAGUCUGGACUUGCUUGUUGAGAGGUAAGAAGAUACAGGGAAGCAGAAACCAGAACAUGAAGGAAAACCCUAACAAGUUCAGCAAAGCUGCCUAUCCAACUCACACCUGACCUCAGAAAUGGCUUGGACACAAGUGCACACCCGCCUCCGAAACAGCAAGACCUGCAGCUUCAUCCUUUCUGGCAGGUUGAUGCUCUGGGCCAGAUGGAGACCGUGGCUGUGGACCCCCAGCCCUUCCCAUCCAGCUCCAGAAGUCAAGGCUCUAAUUCACUCUGAAAGGGCUUCAGCACCACCCCUGUGAGGUCCUUAAAUGUUUUAUGAGCUCCCUGAAAUGCUCAGAUAAUUAAAAACACUUUCUUAAUUUAA
Long non-coding RNA from Canis lupus familiaris (dog), 513 nucleotides. RefSeq lists it as uncharacterized. NCBI's taxonomy places the organism in Eukaryota, Metazoa, Chordata, Mammalia, Carnivora, Canidae. The transcript has 3 exons. The record is from RefSeq and is a predicted model, not a curated record.